This 72-nucleotide transfer RNA is filed under the name Paravannella minima. RNAcentral's name for it is "tRNA-Phe". It matches the Rfam family "tRNA". From Rfam's summary of the family: Transfer RNA (tRNA) molecules are approximately 80 nucleotides in length. Their secondary structure includes four short double-helical elements and three loops (D, anti-codon, and T loops). Lineage: Eukaryota; Discosea; Flabellinia; Vannellidae. The record is from RNAcentral.
GCCUAGAUAGCUCAGUGGUAGAGCAUUGGUCUGAAAAACCUUGUGUCGAUGGUUCAAUUCCUUCUCUGGGCG